AAUCAACGCUGGCGGCGUGCCUCAGACAUGCAAGUCGAACGCGAAAGUCCCUUUCGGGGGGCAAGUAGAGUGGCGCACGGGUGAGUAACACGUAGGUAAUCUACCUUCGGAUGGGGAAUAACAAUCGGAAACGGUUGCUAAUACCGCAUAAUGCAGCGGCACCUAAUGGUGACAGUUGUUAAAGCGGGGGAUCGAAAGACCUCGCGUCUGAAGAGGAGCCUGCGGCGGAUUAGCUAGUUGGUAAGGUAACGGCUUACCAAGGCCACGAUCCGUAGCCGGCCUGAGAGGGCGGUCGGCCACACUGACACUGACAUACGGGUCAGACUCCUACGGGAGGCAGCAGUCGGGAAUUUUGGGCAAUGGGCGAAAGCCUGACCCAGCAACGCCGCGUGAAGGAUGAAAUCCCUCGGGAUGUAAACUUCGCAAGAACAGGAAGAAUAAGUAGGGGACAAUACCCCCUAUGAUGACGGUACUGUUUGUAAGCUCCGGCUAACUCCGUGCCAGCAGCCGCGGUAAUACGGGGGGAGCAAGCGUUGUUCGGAUUUACUGGGCGUAAAGGGCGCGUAGGCGGUCAGCACAAGUCAGUUGUGAAAUCUCCGAGCUUAACUCGGAAAGGUCAACUGAUACUGUGCGACUAGAGUGCAGAAGGGGCAACUGGAAUUCUCGGUGUAGCGGUGAAAUGCGUAGAUAUCGAGAGGAACACCUGCGGCGAAGGCGGGUUGCUGGGCUGACACUGACGCUGAGGCGCGAAAGCUAGGGGAGCGAACGGGAUUAGAUACCCCGGUAGUCCUAGCCUUAAACGAUGAAUGCUUGGUGUCUGGGGUUAUAAAGUCCCUGGGUGCCGUCGCUAACGCUUUAAGCAUUCCGCCUGGGGAGUACGGUCGCAAGACUG
Molecule: ribosomal RNA, 892 nt
Filed under: uncultured microorganism
Description: bacterial SSU rRNA
Rfam family: Bacterial small subunit ribosomal RNA
Source: RNAcentral